GAUGAACGCUGGCGGCGUGCCUAAUACAUGCAAGUCGAGCGAACAGACGAGGAGCUUGCUCCUCUGACGUUAGCGGCGGACGGGUGAGUAACACGUGGAUAACCUACCUAUAAGACUGGGAUAACUUCGGGAAACCGGAGCUAAUACCGGAUAAUAUAUUGAACCGCAUGGUUCAAUAGUGAAAGACGGUUUUGCUGUCACUUAUAGAUGGAUCCGCGCCGCAUUAGCUAGUUGGUAAGGUAACGGCUUACCAAGGCAACGAUGCGUAGCCGACCUGAGAGGGUGAUCGGCCACACUGGAACUGAAACACGGUCCAGCCUCCAACGGGAGGCAGCAGUAGGGAAUUUUCCGCAAUGGGCGAAAGCUUGACGGAGAAACGCCGGGGGGGUGAAGAAGGGUUUCGGAUCGUAAAACCUUGUUAUUAGGGAAAAAAAAAUGUUAAAGUAACUAUGCCCGUUUGGACGGUACCUAAGAAGAAAGCCCCGGUAAACUACGU
Molecule: ribosomal RNA, 496 nt
Filed under: uncultured bacterium
Lineage: Bacteria
Description: partial 16S ribosomal RNA
Rfam family: Bacterial small subunit ribosomal RNA
Source: RNAcentral